CCUACGGGAGGCAGCAGUGGGGAAUAUUGCACAAUGGGGGAAACCCUGAUGCAGCAACGCCGCGUGAGUGAAGAAGUAUUUCGGUAUGUAAAGCUCUAUCAGCAGGGAAGAAGAUGACGGUACCUGAUUAAGAAGCCCCGGCUAACUACGUGCCAGCAGCCGCGGUAAUACGUAGGGAGCGAGCGUUAUCCGGAUUUACUGGGUGUAAAGGGUGCGUAGGCGGGUGUGCAAGUCUGGAGUGAAAUCCAUGGGCCCAACCCCGGAACUGCUGUGGAAACUGUUCGGCUAGGGUAAAGUAGAGGCAGGCGGAAUUCCUGGUGUAGCGGUGAAAUGCGUAGAUAUCAGGAGGAACACCAGUGGCGAAGGCGGCCUGCUGGACAGUAACUGACGCUGAAGCUCGAAAGCGUGGGUAGCAAACAGGAUUAGAUACCCUUGUAGUC
This 440-nucleotide ribosomal RNA is filed under the name uncultured bacterium. RNAcentral describes it as "partial 16S ribosomal RNA". It matches the Rfam family "Bacterial small subunit ribosomal RNA", at positions 338 to 795 of the family's 1533-position model. The record is from RNAcentral.